Molecule: long non-coding RNA, 3210 nt
Filed under: Paramuricea clavata
Lineage: Eukaryota; Metazoa; Cnidaria; Anthozoa; Malacalcyonacea; Plexauridae
Source: RNAcentral
GUUAUUCACCGGCAAAUUUAGGGGAAAAAAGAGGCCACUGAUGAUAAAUUCUUAUCUAGGCAAUAUUUGUCCUUUCCCACUAGUGACUAGAAACGUAAAGGAAGUGUUAAACAUGAUCACAACACGUACCAGAUUAGAGUAACAGUGGGGCCAUCCAAUAUGGCUGCCAUUGGCUUCACUUAUGCACAGCAGAUGCUUUAUCCAGUCUUAUUUAGUCUUAUUUCAGAUCAGUGGUUCGAAUAUACUUAACUUUGAACGUUUAGCUUCACGAUCCUGUUGGUGUGGAGUAUUAGAGAGUUUAUGCUUCGCGUUAUACGUUUCAGGUAAUAAAGAGCAAGUUAGCUUGCCGUUUUAAAACUGAAAUACAUAAUUAUUCUUUCGACACAAGAUAGAAAAUAUGAAACGAAAACGUUCAAAAAAAAUUUGGCAAGAAAAUUCAAACCUGCCGUUUGAAUUGCCGUUCCCGGAAACGUGAAGCUUAUUUAGCUAUUUAAGUAACUCUUUAUUCUUAUUCAUUUACGUGGGAGAGGCGAUGCACUGCAUGAUUGUGUUUAAGUGUUUUCCACAGUAUAAACUGAAUUUAUCAUACGGUACCUCGAUCUACUUUCCAUUAUUCUUGAUUGGUUAGUGGAGCAGUGGAGAGGAUGGUGCGUUGUAAAUAUAUGUUGUGAAUUUCUCUGUGAACUUUUUACUGCAUACUGUAGUUCAUGUAAAGUAAUGUAACAUCAUUUUGUAAAAAUGUUGGGGUUUUUUUUCAUAAUUUAAUCCAAAUUUUCACCGUAUUUUGCUGAAAAUAUGGCAAUCUCUAUUCGAAAUUUAUAUAAAAAAUUCGAUCAGAACGCAGGAAAUCGCAUUUCCGAGGUUCUAGAUUUCCAAAUUUUGCAAAGACAUGAGGAAUUAUGCAUCUCUCAGCUAAAACCAUGGAUCCGGCCCUGUUGUAGAGGCCUAAGAACAUAUUUAUUAUCCAAAUAUGUAGUAGAUAAACCAUAAUAAGUAGACAAUAACUGUAAAUAUAAACAUAAUUAUUUUAACUUAUGCUUUUUAGAUAACAUAGAGAUAAACUUUACUUUGUAAUCUAUAGCAGUUGAAGACAUGGGCUAACAGGGCGGGGGGGGAGCCCCCCAGUUUGUUGGGCAAACAGUCGGGCAAUAUUGGCUUAUUAUAAAAAUAAAUGGGACAAAUUCUGUGAAUUUUGUGGGAAAUUCUGUCAAUUUUGUAGGAAAUAUGCUAUGUAAUAGGAAUUUCCACCCCCCCCCCGACAACAGUUUUGGAAAGUUUCUCUGAAAAUUUUCUUUUGACAACUCGGACACAAUCCAAAAAAAUAGGGCAAAUCUCUUUCCGCCCCAUAAUUUUUCAAUUCCCGUACGCCCAUGGUUGAAGAGCCACUCUGUGGAUACACUGUUAUUAAAUCAUUAUUAUAUGGAAUUCUUCAGGGGUAAAGUGUUUUGAGUUUGGAAUUCUUCAGGGGUGAAGUGUUUUGAGUUUGGAAUUCUUCAGGGGUAGAGUGUUUUGAGUUUGGAAUUCUUUAGGGGUAAAGUGUUUUGAGCUUGGAAUUCUUCAGGGGUAGUGUGUUUUGAGCUUGGAAUUCUUCAGGGGUAGGGUGUUUUGAGUUUGGAAUUCUUCAGGGGUAAAGGAUUUUGAGUUUGGAAUUCUUCAGGGGUAGGGUGUUUUGAGUUUGGAAUUCUUCAGGGGUAGAGUGUUUUGAGCUUGGAAUUCUUCAGGGGUAGAGUGUUUUGAGUUUGGAAUUCUUCAGGGGUAAAGGAUUUUGAGCUUGGAAUUCUUCAGGGGUAAAGUGUUUUGAGUUUGGAAUUCUUCAGGGGUAGGGUGUUUUGAGUUUGGAAUUCUUCAGGGGUAGGGUGUUUUGAGUUUGGAAUUCUUCAGGGGUAAAGGAUUUUGAGCUUGGAAUUCUUCAGGGGUAGGGUGUUUUGAGUUUGGAAUUCUUCAGGGGUAGGGUGUUUUGAGCUUGGAAUUCUUCAGGGGUAGUGUGUUUUGAGCUUGGAAUUCUUCAGGGGUAGGGUGUUUUGAGUUUGGAAUUCUUCAGGGGUAGAGGAUUUUGAGUUUGGAAUUCUUCAGGGGUAGGGUGUUUUGAGUUUGGAAUUCUUCAGGGGUAGGGUGUUUUGAGUUUGGAAUUCUUCAGGGGUAGGGUGUUUUGAGUUUGGAAUUCUUCAGGGGUAGGGUGUUUUGAGUUUGGAAUUCUUCAGGGGUAGGGUGUUUUGAGUUUGGAAUUCUUCAGGGGUAGAGUGUUUUGAGUUUGGAAUUCUUCAGGGGUAAAGGAUUUUGAGCUUGGAAUUCUUCAGGGGUAAAGUGUUUUGAGUUUGGAAUUCUUCAGGGGUAGGGUGUUUUGAGUUUGGAAUUCUUCAGGGGUAGAGUGUUUUGAGUUUGGAAUUCUUCAGGGGUAAAGGAUUUUUAGCUUGGAAUUCUUCAGGGGUAAAGUGUUUUGAGUUUGGAAUUCUUCAGGGGUAGAGUGUUUUGAGUUUGGAAUUCUUCAGGGGUAAAGGAUUUUGAGCUUGGAAUUCUUCAGGGGUAAAGUGUUUUGAGUUUGGAAUUCUUCAGGGGUAGGGCUUUUGAGUUUGGAAUUCUUCAGGGGUAGAGUGUUUUGAGCUUGGAAUUCUUCAGGGGUAGGGUGUUUUGAGUUUGGAAUUCUUCAGGGGUAGAGUGUUUUGAGCUUGGAAUUCUUCAGGGGUAAAGAGGUUUGAGAUCAAAAUUUUUCAGAGUUUGGAAUUCUUCAGGGGUACAGUGUUUUGAGUUUGGAAUUCUUCAGGGGUAAAUGAUUUUGAGUUUGGAAUUCUUCAGGGGUAGGGUGUUUUGAGCUUGGAAUUCUUCAGGGGUAGAGUGUUUUGAGCUUGGAAUUCUUCAGGGGUAAAGAGGUUUGAGAUCGAAAUUUUUCAGAGUUUGGAAUUCUUCAGGGGUAAAGUGUUUUGAGUUUGGAAUUCUUCAGGGGUAGAGUGUUUUGAGCUUGGAAUUCUUCAGGGGUAAAGGAUUUUGAGCUUGGAAUUCUUCAGGGGUAUAACUAUGAAAAACAUGUAUCCUCGACAGGGGGGGUACGGAUAUUAAAUGGAAUAGCCCAUUGUUAGUGACGAAUGAAAUGAUACUGCCAUAUUAAAAGCGAGUAUAUACGAGGGUAUAUACGUCUAAAGGUGAUACCCCAGGGAAACCUAAUAAUAAGAGACACCAAAUUUCACGUUUGAAGAAUUCAACAUCAAGUCGAAC